UACGUAGUGGGCAAGCGUUGUCCGGAUUCAUUGGGCGUAAAGAGCGUGUAGGCGGCCAGGUAGGUCGGUUGUGAAAACUGGAGGCUCAACCUUCAGAGGUCGACCGAAACCAUCUGGCUAGAGUCCGGGAGAGGAGAGUGGAAUUCCUGGUGUAGCGGUGAAAUGCGCAGAUAUCAGGAAGAACACCCGUGGCGAAAGCGGCUCUCUGGAACGGUACUGACGCUGAGACGCGAAAGCGUGGGGAGCGAACAGG
This 253-nucleotide ribosomal RNA is filed under the name uncultured bacterium. RNAcentral's name for it is "partial 16S ribosomal RNA". It matches the Rfam family "Bacterial small subunit ribosomal RNA", at positions 524 to 776 of the family's 1533-position model. The record is from RNAcentral.